GUCUUGUUGACUCAAUUGGCAGAGCGUUGGUCACAUAGUCCGAAGAUCGUGAGCUCGAGCCCCACACAGGACA
This is a non-coding RNA of Martensiomyces pterosporus, 73 nucleotides long. The record is from the annotation of a GenBank genome assembly. Lineage: Eukaryota; Fungi; Kickxellomycota; Kickxellomycetes; Kickxellales; Kickxellaceae.